Molecule: ribosomal RNA, 468 nt
Filed under: uncultured bacterium
Lineage: Bacteria
Description: partial 16S ribosomal RNA
Rfam family: Bacterial small subunit ribosomal RNA
Source: RNAcentral
GACGAACGCUGGCGGCGCGCUUAACACAUGCAAGUUGAACGGAAAGGCCCUGCCUUUGUGGGGUGCUCGAGUGGCGAACGGGUGAGUAACACGUGAGUAACCUGCCCUUGACUUUGGGAUAACUUCAGGAAACUGGGGCUAAUACCGGAUAGGAGCUCCUGCUGCAUGGUGGGGGUUGGAAAGUUUCGGCGGUUGGGGAUGGACUCGCGGCUUAUCAGCUUGUUGGUGGGGUAGUGGCUUACCAAGGCUUUGACGGGUAGCCGGCCUGAGAGGGUGACCGGCCACAUUGGGACUGAGAUACGGCCCAGACUCCUACGGGAGGCAGCAGUGGGGAAUAUUGCACAAUGGGCGGAAGCCUGAUGCAGCAACGCCGCGUGCGGGAUGACGGCCUUCGGGUUGUAAACCGCUUUCGCCUGUGACGAAGCGUGAGUGACGGUAAUGGGUAAAGAAGCACCGGCUAACUACGUG